This 1301-nucleotide ribosomal RNA is filed under the name metagenome. Its description in RNAcentral is "bacterial LSU rRNA". It matches the Rfam family "Bacterial large subunit ribosomal RNA", at positions 1649 to 2925 of the family's 2925-position model. The record is from RNAcentral.
AAAAACCGACACAGGUGGGUGAGGCGAGCAGCCUCAGGUGAACGAGUGAAACGUGGUCAAGGAACUCGGCAUAAUGAUCCCGUAACUUCGGAAGAAGGGAUGCCAGAGAGGGUGUAGGGUACACCGAAGCUCUCCCUGGUCGCAGCGAAUCGGCCCAAGCGACUGUUUAGCAAAAACACAGGUGUGUGCCAAGCCGCACAAGGCGCCGUAUACACACUGACGCCUGCCCGGUGCCGGAAGGUUAAGGGGAGAGGUUAGCCGCAAGGCGAAGCUUUGAGCCGAAGCCCCGGUAAACGGCGGCCGUAACCAUAACGGUCCUAAGGUAGCGAAAUUCCUUGUCGGGUAAGUUCCGACCUGCACGAAUGGCGUAACGACUUGGGCACUGUCUCGACCACGUGCUCGGCGAAAUGGCAGUCUCGGUGAGGAUUCCGAGUCCCCGCGACAGGACAAAAAGACCCCAUGCACCUUUACUGUAGCUUGUCAUUGGUCGUUGCACAUCGCUGUGUAGCAUAGGUGGGAGGCGUUGAUCCGUGGGCGCUAGCUUACGGGGAGCCAUCAGUGAAAUACCACCCUGCGUCGUGCGACGCCCUCACCACGGCGGGAACACCCCGUCUGGGACCGUGGCAGGUGGGCAGUUUGACUGGGGCGGUCGCCUCCGAAACAGUAACGGAGGCGCGCGCAAGGUUGGCUCAGCGCGGACGGUACUCGCGCUUCUAGAGUGUAACGGCAGAAGCCAGCCUGACGGUGUGAUCGACGGAUCGGGCCGCCACGAAAGUGGGCCGUAGUGAUCCGGUAGCCCGGGGUGGAGCGGCUAUCGCGCAACGGAUAAAAGGUACGCUGGGGAUAACAGGCUUAUCGCGCCCGAGAGUUCACAUCGACGGCGCGGUUUGGCACCUCGAUGUCGGCUUAUCACAUCCUGGGGCUGGAGAAGGUCCCAAGGGUCCGGCUGUUCGCCGGUUAAAGUGGUACAUGAGCUGGGUUCAGAACGUCGUGAGACAGUUCGGUCUGUAUCCGUCGUGGGCGUUGGAGAGUUGAGGGGAGCGGACUCUAGUACGAGAGGACCGAGUCGGACGACCCGCUCGUGUCCCGGUUGUCCUGCCAAGGGCACCGCCGGGUAGCGAUGGUCGGCUGUGAUAACCGCUGAAAGCAUCUAAGUGGGAAGCACGCCCCAAGAUGAACUCUCCCGAGGCCUUGAGCCUCUUGAAGGGCCGGGGAAGACCACCCCGUCGAUAGGCCGCCCGUGGACGUCCCGCAAGGGAUUCCAAGCGCAGCGGUCCUAAUCGCCCGUAUGGCUUGACUAC